CCCAACCCCCGGAGACCACAGCGGGGCAGAGCCCUCAACCACCCAGGUGUGGGGCUGACCUGAGCAGACACAGGCUUCUGGAGGAGUGAUCUGAGCAGCGUGCAGGAGCGCAGAGGUGGUUUUAUCAAAGCCCGCGGACAGGACCCACGAGUGGCGUCCACCAUUCUGUUCCUGCGGCAUCCUGCCCACCGGGGCCGCCAAACAAACCUCCUCAGCCCGGGCGGCUUGGGUUUCUGUCGUGGAGGCUGGGAUUCAAAUGCAAGUGAGGGAGAUGUUCUGGAACCAGAUGAUGGUCACACACCCCUGCAAAUGUAGGAAAACCUACUGACCGGGACACGUUGAAAGGAUGAGUGUAACAUGUGCGUGAAUUACACCUCCAUAAAGCAGGUAGAAGCCACCACCGAGCUCCCCGACGAACACAAACCGUGAGGGGGUAGAGUUUUGCAGGCAGGCUGGCCGCCCACCCCCGGAUUCCACGACAGGUGCUUACACGGGACCUUGACCUUCCUUUCUGUGUGGCACGCACAGCGUCACCGCACCCAGACCCACGCCGCACGCUGCCCCGCGCCCUCGCACCGCCUGGUCACCAUGUCACACUGUGGCUUCCAGGGGCCCCGGACCGCACUGCUCAUCAGCCCCGCCGGGGCCCUGCUGCUGGUGCGCGGACCGCCCUGUGGGUAGAAGACAGGAGGCUCUUCCCACCUCCGUGUGGGGUCCUCCCUCGUUGGGGUGCCGCCCGUGCACAGUAGGGAGGGAGCCGCACGCCAGGCCCCCGGCCACUCCGCGCCCACAGCGUCCCCUCUCCCCAGACGGCCUCUGCUCAUUGACAAGCGUCCCGAGGGGUGGCGGACAAAAUGGUGCCAGUGGGGAGCCCGCAGU
Molecule: long non-coding RNA, 879 nt
Organism: Suricata suricatta (meerkat)
Lineage: Eukaryota; Metazoa; Chordata; Mammalia; Carnivora; Herpestidae
Exons: 4
Source: RefSeq, a predicted model, not a curated record